CCAACUCUUCGGAUCAAGUUACUAUAGUAAUGAUAAAUUUAUUAUAUACCCCCUUAUGCAUUUUAAAUCCACAUUUAUAAGAUAAUAAAUGUAAUCCAAAUUAUUAAAAACACAGACAUACCAUGAAAGUAUGUUUUGUGUACCUAGUUUCGUUUGUGACGCGGUCAAUAUUUUCCACAAAUAACGUUGCGUUCAUGCAUUGUGACGUCAUUGUGACGGCAUCAGUUUCAGAGGAUACUGAUACGGAAACAGAAAACCACAGUGUGGUGAUCCGGAAAACCGGAUCACACGCUGUGAAAUCCACAGUAUCAAAGAACGAUACAUUGAUGGGUAUAUAAUAAAUUGCAAUAUUUAUCAAUGUGUUUUUACUUAGUCAGAUUUCAAAAAUGUGUAUUUCCGGUGUGUUGAUUUCCCUUGGUCUGGUAGCAGUUUUGACGACAGAUAUCGGAUAUGGACGUGAUGAUACAUGUAAUUGGCAAUUAGUAUUCCAUGCAGUUCAAGGUAAUGGUGAAUCUGUCCUUGAUGCCUAUAACACGAAGUCACCAUCACAAUGUAGUCCUGACAAUGGCUGCCUUCCUCCACGUUUUACCUUGGAUCACUGGAGGGAUAAUGCAAAACAUCUGCGAAGUCCUCUUAUAGAUCAGUGGGAAUCGCUCAGUAUCAAAAAGAUCAGAGUGGAGCUUGGUGGACAGGGGAAGGUAUUAGCCUUCUUAGAAUUUGAUGGAAGCGGAAGUAACAACAAAGACUGGUUUAGCAAAUCAAGACUUCUCAAUAGUAGUUGGUCCGAUCUCAAGACCUCCAGCACAAAUUACUUUUCUAUGAAAGGACACGACAACGAUAUAAAUAUUGAGAAAAGGCACUUUUUGUCAACAAACAUUAUGGAGGAUGUACUGAUAUUGGAUGGUUCGUAGUUAUAGACAAAACCGAUAUAUGUCCAUGGGCAAAAAAAGGAGCAGUCCCCUUGUUUUUGUACAGCAACGGACCACAAGCUGCUAACUGGGAUCACAGUCCAGGAGUCGCCGAUGUGAUGAAUGUAUAUAUCCAAACAUUGUAAAUCUUAUGGACUAAACCUUGAAAGUCUUACUGAUUAUGUAUUUGUAAAGUUAUGUAUAUUGAAUAAUCUUUCUUAUACGGCAGUUUAGUAUGAAUUGCAAUAAAUGUGGUUCAUUGGA
Molecule: RNA transcript, 1172 nt
Organism: Ostrea edulis (European flat oyster)
Lineage: Eukaryota; Metazoa; Mollusca; Bivalvia; Ostreida; Ostreidae
Exons: 5
Source: RefSeq, a predicted model, not a curated record